This 499-nucleotide unclassified non-coding RNA is filed under the name uncultured Glomus. Its description in RNAcentral is "SSU rRNA". It matches the Rfam family "Eukaryotic small subunit ribosomal RNA", at positions 591 to 1092 of the family's 1831-position model. The record is from RNAcentral. Lineage: Eukaryota; Fungi; Glomeromycota; Glomeromycetes; Glomerales; Glomeraceae.
CCAAUAGCGUAUAUUAAAGUUGUUGCAGUUAAAAAGCUCGUAGUUGAAUUUCGGGAUCAAUAUAUCGGUCGUGCCUUGGUACGUACUGGUAUCAUUGGUUUCUCCCUUCUGACGAACCAUGAUGUCAUUAAUUUGGUGUCUUGGGGAAUCAGGACUGUUACUUUGAAAAAAUUAGAGUGUUUAAAGCAGGCUCACGCUUGAAUACAUUAGCAUGGAAUAAUGAAAUAGGACGUUUGAUUCUAUUUUGUUGGUUUCUAGGAUCGACGUAAUGAUUAAUAGGGAUAGUUGGGGGCAUUAGUAUUCAAUUGUCAGAGGUGAAAUUCUUGGAUUUAUUGAAGACUAACUACUGCGAAAGCAUUUGCCAAGGAUGUUUUCAUUAAUCAAGAACGAAAGUUAGGGGAUCGAAGACGAUCAGAUACCGUCGUAGUCUUAACCAUAAACUAUGCCGACUAGGGAUCGGAUGAUGUUAAUUUUUUAAUGACUCAUUCGGCGCCUUACG